Molecule: ribosomal RNA, 427 nt
Filed under: uncultured bacterium
Lineage: Bacteria
Description: bacterial SSU rRNA
Rfam family: Bacterial small subunit ribosomal RNA
Source: RNAcentral
UGGGGAAUCUUGCGCAAUGGGCGAAAGCCUGACGCAGCAACGCCGCGUGAGCGAAGAAGGCCUUCGGGUUGUAAAGCUCUGUCAGGGGGAAAGAAGGCACCUGGGUUAAUAGCCCAAGGGCUGACGGUACCCCCAGAGGAAGCCACGGCUAACUACGUGCCAGCAGCCGCGGUAAUACGUAGGUGGCGAGCGUUGUCCGGAAUCAUUGGGCGUAAAGAGCGCGUAGGUGGCUUGUCAGGUCUGAUGUGAAAACCUGGGGCUCAACCCCAGGCCUGCAUCGGAAACCGGCUUGCUAGAGUCUAGGAGAGGAGAGUGGAAUUCCUGAUGUAGCGGUGAAAUGCGUAGAUAUCAGGAGGAACACCGGUAGCGAAGGCGGCUCUCUGGAACAGUACUGACGCUGAGGCGCGAAAGCUAGGGGAGCGAACAG